Molecule: long non-coding RNA, 710 nt
Filed under: Bos taurus (domestic cattle)
Lineage: Eukaryota; Metazoa; Chordata; Mammalia; Artiodactyla; Bovidae
Description: long non-coding RNA NONBTAT014118
Source: RNAcentral
GGCUCGUCUGCUCUGUUUGCAGCCUCGUUCUCUGGCUUACAUCGAUAAGGAGAGAGAUUUAUGAAUGAAUGACUCUACACCGUCUGCAUUUAACUGAUCAGACGGGGAACAUGAAAGGACUAUACCCCUUGGUAUAUACGGCUCCCAGAACAGAUUUUGUUUCUGCCCGAUUAUUACAUUUUAUGUCUGGAAACUAUACCUUCUAUGGCACAGUGCACUUCUAAAUGGAUACAAGAGAGUGGAUUACUGAGUUUACCAAAGGGAAGGGGCUUGAGAAAAAGUUAGACUUUCUGAAAGUCACAGAAACUGGCCCAGUUUUCUGUCUGGUCCAACUCUUAGGGCCACAAGGUAGGAAUAUGUAGCAGUUUCCAGAGAGCUUAACUUUCUUCCUAUUAAUUUUUUUUUAAUGAAUUCAUAUUUAUUUCAGGUGAGUGUCAAGAAAAGCUAAUAUGAUUUAAUCUUAGCCUGGAGUAAACAUUCUUUACUUUUUCAGAUAGAGAUUUUAUUCAAAUUUUUCUAAGUGGUAAUCCAUUGUAGAUAAGCUGUUUCUCACGUAUUAUGUGUAUUAUAUGUUAUGAACAGUUUUGAUGUGGGGACUCCUUUCAUUUUUUACUAACAGAUGAGAGAGUGUUUCACAUGCAGACUACAUUGUUACAAUACAGAUCAACAGUCAGAAAGCAAAAAGCAUGCUGGUCUAAAACAGGCAAGUU